CUUGCUUGCCAAUGUGAAUGUAUCCAAAGUAGCAUUGGUCCUAAAUUCCCCGUCUAUUUGGAACGUCACGGGAACUGUAGAGUAUA
Molecule: ribosomal RNA, 86 nt
Filed under: Aplanochytrium stocchinoi
Lineage: Eukaryota; Bigyra; Thraustochytrida; Thraustochytriidae
Description: partial Eukaryotic large subunit ribosomal RNA
Source: RNAcentral